Non-coding RNA from Mytilinidion resinicola, 147 nucleotides. NCBI's taxonomy places the organism in Eukaryota, Fungi, Ascomycota, Dothideomycetes, Mytilinidiales, Mytilinidiaceae. The record is from the annotation of a RefSeq genome assembly.
GCUCCUUUAGUUCAGUGGUAGAACGCGUGACUCGUAACUAGCCAGCGCCUGGAAACAGGCUAGGUGGAUAAAACAACGUGGCAAUCAACUCUCUGGUUACCAGUAGAGCCAAUCACGAGGUCCUCGGUUCAAUCCCGAGAGGGAGCU